UCUCUGGUGUGAGAAACUGAAAAUGUAAAUAAGGGUUAAAAUGAUUAAAAUGAAUAAUUGAUAAUUUGAAAUAGGAAAAAAGGUAUAAAGAGGUAGGGGUGAAAGGAGGGGAAGGGGAAAGGGAAAAGGGAAGGAAAAAUUAUGAGAAAAGAAAAAAAUGGAAAUGAAAUCUAUGUAGAUAGAGAACAGUGGAGGGGGUGAAGAGUGCACAGGGAAUGGGGAAAAAAUAAGAACCAAGAUACAUCAUGUACAGGUACAAGCACCCGAUGAUAAAUGUAAAUGUACUGUAUACCUAAAACGUACCAAUAAAAGAAUUUAAGAAUAAAAAUAAAAUAAAAUUUAAAAAUAAUAUGCUUUUCCUAACAGACUGCUCCCUCUUCCUGUGAAGUAGAUAUGUAUAUUGCAUGAACCUGUAGUUAUUCAAGAUUAGGAUUAAGGAUAGACAAGGUACAGUAGUUAGUUACCUUAAAAUAUCCACUCCUAAGCAGUAUUAUUUUUUAAAUCCUUUCACCCUGUCUAUCUCCCUGUCCAUGGCCUCCUCUCCUCCAGUUGGGAGGCACUCCACCACAAGCUCUUCACAUGCAAGGCAAUGUGCCAUGCCUUGAGCCUUCACCAUCAUGUCCAUGCACUGUGUACAGAUGCCAAAACUCUUAAGGUGCAAUGUUGAACUCUUAAAUAGUAGCCAUGACAUCAAUCAGCCCCAAACUGGUACGCAAUGCAUAGUACAAGGAAUAUGUUUGCAUUGGGGGGGGAAUUUUGUCAUAUUUCUUAAAAUGCAUCAUGUUCCACAGCAAAGUUUGGAAUCUAAUAUCAAGGCACUCCCUGUUCAAGACUGAACAAAAUGACUUUGGGCCAUGGAAAUUAUAGGAGAUAUCAAAGGAUGCCCCUCUAGGAAUUCUCUCUCCUGGAGCAUCCCAGAGGUCUUUGGAGGGAAGAAGUCCUCAAGCCCCCUCUGUCCUUUCUUCCUGAGCUAGCCUCAACUGGGAGAAAGACCUAGUGCCCUGAUAGAGGUGGGGCAUACACUCCUGGAGCAAAAAGACACUGCUGAACUUGUAACCCAACAUCACAUCAGUGCGGUAAGAAGGAACCAAAGCCUGGCACAGUGGCAGGUGCCUGUGUCCCAGCUAACCCAGACUCUGAGACAGGAUUACUCAAGCCCACAGCUGCAAGACUGGCCUGGGCAACAUAGCAAAAUCCUAUCUCAAAUAAAAUAAAAUAAAAUAAAAUAAACUCAAGAAGAAACCCAGAGCUCUGGUGUGCUGCCUCCUAGCCCAACCCAAUACAGAAAGGGGUAGAGGCUCAACAAAACACCUAUCAGGGGCCAGGGAUUUAGCUCAGUGGUUCCACUGCCUGCCUCGCAAGCACAAGGUCCCCAGUUCGAUCCCCAGUACCAAAAAAAAAAAAAAAAAAGACACCUAUCAGCUGGAAACAGCUCUCUGAGUUUCUCCACAGAGCACUGCAGGGAGUAGUUUCUCCAUUCUCUUAAUCUCUCCUCUCUCUUCCACUCCACUUACUCUCUCUACCAAACAAAUAUUUGGGAAAAUGACUCUGCUAAUCCCAAUCAGUCUAACACACCCUGGCCUCAGGCCUGGCACUGUGUGUGUGUGUGUGUGUGUGUGUGUGUGCGCGCGCGAUCCCCAAUGGAUGCAGCCUGCCAGUCUGAGCCUUCACCAGAGCUGCAAAAAAAAAAAGAGGAAGCCAGUGUGCAUGGCCUGUAUGUGUGUUAAAGCCAUUGGGUGCUCACUCUGUACCUGAGCUUCAAGAAGAAACUGAACAACCCUACCAUGGAGAACAUGGAGGGGGAGUCAGACUUGCAGACAAGGAGCCAAGAUAUUACUCUGCAGCACAAGAUGGGCGGGCUUACCAGUGUUCGAAGAGGCCCGGAGUCCAAUUUGGCAUGUCUUCCACCAAAAUGUUCAGGAUCUGAACUACCACAUGUAACAGGUGAGUGUGAAGUGUAGUGGGAGACCUGGAGAGGACUGAUUUCCAGUUGGCUGAGAGAGUAGAAGAGAGAACUGAACAGAGGAAUGUGACCUGCGCAGACUCAGUGCCCACAAGGUGUAGGGACCAGAGGGUGUGAAGACUGUAAGUUCCACAGCUGAAAUGUGGAGGAAGUACUAACAAGCACACUUGGUCCUUUUCAGACCGACUGACCCACAAGCACCGGGCUGCAGACCUCACCUUGUGAAAGGGCAGGAAGCUAAGGAGUGUUUCAGCAGCGACCUCCCCUCCAAGAAUGGGGACUGCAGGACCUGGCUCGGUGGCAGCAGUGGCGCAGGAUGAGCGGAGCGAUGUCGGGAAGACUCUGCCGGUCUCUCGGCAUCACGAACCGGCCGCCUUCUGCUGCUACUGCGGAUUCCCCCACGGAAACUGCUCGCUUCAUCUGGGCCGAGUGAACUGCUGGCGCCGGCUGUCCGUGCCUCCGGCGCCGCACGGGGCCAGUCUUCGGGGAGGCUCGGCAGCUCUUCCGCGGGUCCCUGGCAUGGCAUGCACAGGCGACAGGCAGGAGGUGCAGUUGGCUCCAGAGAUGUAUCUGAGAGUCCCUGGAAGGCCAGGACAGCAGAGGCCAUGAGCUCCGCUAGGCUCAGGACCCUGUUCUCUGGAGGUGGGGUCACCCUGGGCCCUGUGUCACCGCAAUGCUACAGAGAAAUAGUGGUCCUAGGCCCAAGUGCGCUGCCAGACAGGAUCCUGAUCUCUCCAAGAAGCAGGAUCUGCCCAGCCUGCUUACAGGAGUUGAGAAGUAAACCAAAGCAGACGCGCAUCCGGGAGCACCAGCCUCACUCUCCUCAGGCUAAACCGAAGCACGGACAAGACUCUGUCCUCCCCCUAAGUCUCCUCCAGUCCCAAGCCCAUUGCUUCUUCCCCAGAGGAUGGAGCAGUCCUAGAGGCAGUCAUGGGGGCAGUCACCUGUUUUCCCAGCCUUCCAGUGCCCUACUGCCACGUGGACUCGCAAUUUGUGGAGACAGACUAAUUCCAGCCCCUCCUAGUGUGGGCGGCUGGAGGCACCCCAUGUCCAUUGGAGUUAGGGGUUUGUUCCUAGAAAUAACAGCCAGAAAUCAAUACCUGGUAGAUCAGGACUCCUCUUUUUGCCAC
This 3093-nucleotide long non-coding RNA is filed under the name Heterocephalus glaber (naked mole-rat). Its description in RNAcentral is "lncRNA (ENSHGLG00100042633.1)". Lineage: Eukaryota; Metazoa; Chordata; Mammalia; Rodentia; Bathyergidae. The record is from RNAcentral.